Molecule: ribosomal RNA, 721 nt
Filed under: Kosakonia sp.
Lineage: Bacteria; Pseudomonadati; Pseudomonadota; Gammaproteobacteria; Enterobacterales; Enterobacteriaceae
Description: bacterial SSU rRNA
Rfam family: Bacterial small subunit ribosomal RNA
Source: RNAcentral
GCCUAGGAUGUCGACUUGGAGGUUGUGCCCUUGAGGCGUGGCUUCCGGAGCUAACGCGUUAAGUCGACCGCCUGGGGAGUACGGCCGCAAGGUUAAAACUCAAAUGAAUUGACGGGGGCCCGCACAAGCGGUGGAGCAUGUGGUUUAAUUCGAUGCAACGCGAAGAACCUUACCUGGUCUUGACAUCCACAGAACUUUCCAGAGAUGGAUUGGUGCCUUCGGGAACUGUGAGACAGGUGCUGCAUGGCUGUCGUCAGCUCGUGUUGUGAAAUGUUGGGUUAAGUCCCGCAACGAGCGCAACCCUUAUCCUUUGUUGCCAGCGGUUAGGCCGGGAACUCAAAGGAGACUGCCAGUGAUAAACUGGAGGAAGGUGGGGAUGACGUCAAGUCAUCAUGGCCCUUACGACCAGGGCUACACACGUGCUACAAUGGCGCAUACAAAGAGAAGCAAUCUCGCGAGAGCUAGCGGACCUCAUAAAGUGCGUCGUAGUCCGGAUUGGAGUCUGCAACUCGACUCCAUGAAGUCGGAAUCGCUAGUAAUCGUGAAUCAGAAUGUCACGGUGAAUACGUUCCCGGGCCUUGUACACACCGCCCGUCACACCAUGGGAGUGGGUUGCAAAAGAAGUAGGUAGCUUAACCUUCGGGAGGGCGCUUACCACUUUGUGAUUCAUGACUGGGGUGAAGUCGUAACAAAGGGUAACCGAAACUAGUUUGAUCCUGGC